Molecule: long non-coding RNA, 234 nt
Filed under: Elaeis guineensis (African oil palm)
Lineage: Eukaryota; Viridiplantae; Streptophyta; Magnoliopsida; Arecales; Arecaceae
Description: long non-coding RNA (EGUI_LNC067345)
Source: RNAcentral
AUUUGCGAACGGUCAACCUUUGAUAGCGAUGAGGGGGACAUGCGGGACAUGCGGCACGCACCAGCUGGCCCAGGAGCACCCGCCGCCAUAACUGCGUCGGGAUCCGUCGGCUAUUUAAACCCCCUAACCUCCUUUCGUGGCCUCAUCCUGUUGAUAGGACCUUUCUUUUGCCUGAGAUCUUAGCUACCCAGCCAUUCUCCUAGCACUGGUCCUUGGCUUCUUCAGUCCCCCGAC